CCUACGGGAGGCAGCAGUAGGGAAUAUUGCUCACUGGGGGAAACCCUGAAGCAGCAACGCCGCGUGGAGGAUGAAGGUUUUCGGAUUGUAAACUCCUUUUGUUAGAGAAGAUAAUGACGGUAUCUAACGAAUAAGAACCGGCUAACUCCGUGCCAGCAGCAGCGCUAAUACGGAGGGUGCAAGCGUUAUUCGGAAUCAAUGGGCGUAAAGCGCGCGUAGGCGGGAUAGCAAGUCAGAUGUGAAAUCCUAUGGCUUAACCAUAGAACUGCAUUUUAAACUGUUAUUCUAGAGUAAGGGAGAGGUAGGUGGAAUUCUUGGUGUAGGGGUAAAAUCCGUAGAGAUCAAGAGGAAUACUCAUUGCGAAGGCGACCUGCUAGAACAUAACUGACGCUGAUGCGCGAAAGCGUGGGGAGCAAACAGGAUUAGAUACCCCGGUAGUC
RNAcentral lists this ribosomal RNA (440 nucleotides) under uncultured bacterium. RNAcentral describes it as "partial 16S ribosomal RNA". It matches the Rfam family "Bacterial small subunit ribosomal RNA", at positions 338 to 795 of the family's 1533-position model. The record is from RNAcentral.